GGGGUCACAGAGGGGUGUGGGGUCACAAUGGGGCACAGUUAUGGGGUCACGGGUGUGGGGUCGCAGGGGCACAGUUAUGGGGUGGCAGUGGGUUAUGGAGUGGAUAUGGGGUGAUAGGGAGGCAGUUAUGGGGUCACAAGGGGAUAUGGGGUGGAUAUGGGGUGGAUAUGGGGUGACAGGAGGCAGUUAUGGGGUCACAGUCGGGUUGUGGGGUCACAAUGGGGUCAGCAGGGCGGUUAUGGGGUGACAAUGGGGUAUGGGGUGGAUAUGGGGUGUGGGGUGACAAUGGGGCGUGGUUAUGGGGUCACAGAGGGGGUGUGGGGUCACAGGGGGGCAGUUGUGGGGUCACAACGGGUUGUGGGGUGACGAGGGGUGACAGUUAUGGGGUGACAGUGGGGUUAUGGGGUGGCAGUUAUGGGGUGAGAGUUAUGGGGUGAUGUGUGGGGUUAUGGGGUGAUAUAUGGGGUUAUGGGGUGAGAGUUACGGGGUGACACUUAUGGGGUGUCAGUUAUGGGGUUGUUGCUGUUGUAAUGGGGUUGCUGUUGUCGUUAUGGGGUGGUUGUGGGGUUGUUGUUGUGGGGUUGUUGUUGUGGGGUUGUUGUUGUGGGGUGGCUGUAGUUACGGGGUUGUUGUGGGGUUGUAGUUACGGGGCU
This 653-nucleotide long non-coding RNA is filed under the name Phasianus colchicus (ring-necked pheasant). RNAcentral's name for it is "lncRNA (ENSPCLG00000015263.1)". The record is from RNAcentral. Lineage: Eukaryota; Metazoa; Chordata; Aves; Galliformes; Phasianidae.